Helianthus annuus (common sunflower) is the source of this 441-nucleotide long non-coding RNA. RefSeq lists it as uncharacterized. The transcript is spliced from 3 exons. The record is from RefSeq and is a predicted model, not a curated record. Lineage: Eukaryota; Viridiplantae; Streptophyta; Magnoliopsida; Asterales; Asteraceae.
CCACACACACUAAGUGUGUGUGUGUUCGUACGACCAGGAAGGGGAAAACAAGGGUUCCACCCUUAUUCAAGCUAAAAACCCCAAAUUGAGGAUCAAUUCAAGACCAAAUCAAUGCAUGAACGCGUAUAAACGAUCACCAAGUCAAGAGGAUCGAAAGUUUGACGUUUGACGAGCUAGGUGAAAGCUUGGGAAGAAAACGGGUCAAACGAAUCAAGAAUGAAGAAAAAGCAUGAUCCGGGUGCAAGGUGAAUGUCGAGAGUCCCAGAUGAAGAUCAAGUGGCGAGCAAGAACCGAACACACAUUAAAUGAAGCUUCCGCGUCAAAUCUUGACUUGUUUGCAAAAAAAAAAAUGAAUUAUGUAAACAUUUAUAAACAUGUACUUUUUGAAAUGUUGUAAACUAUGGGAAUGUUAGCAUGACAAGUUGAUUUUGUAAAGUCACA